Long non-coding RNA from Rhea pennata, 2786 nucleotides. RefSeq lists it as uncharacterized. The record is from RefSeq and is a predicted model, not a curated record. Lineage: Eukaryota; Metazoa; Chordata; Aves; Rheiformes; Rheidae. The transcript is spliced from 3 exons.
CGGGGGCGGCCCCUCACCGCCGCCCUCGCCUCAGCGCGGAGCGCCGGCUCUCCUCGCGGCAGCGCCUCGAUGCGCUGUAACCUGCCCGGCUCCGGACGAGCUUCGCUCCUGGCAGCCUUUCUGCGGAGAGGAGCGUGCCGGGUGCUCGCGAGGCGUCAGGGAGGCACCGCUGGAGUCCCGGGCGGCGGCCGCUUAACUUGGGAAACAGAAAAAUGGCAGUUUCGACGGCCUUCCACAGACGUAGAGGUCGAGGCCUGAAGCAAAACGCGGUGCGCUCGGAUUCGUUUUAAAAGGCGAAAGCGCGCUCCGAAGCCCCCGCGGGCAGAGCGGCUCCGCUCCGCUGCGCGCUCGCAGCGCGGAAGGCGCCGUCACCUCCCCGCGCUCGCGGUGCAAGCUCUGUUCAGCUGAGACCUCCGUUUUUACGGGCUUCGGGUCUGCUCCGGUGUCUUUACUGCUCUCGUCAUUGCCUGUUUUACUGGCUGUGAAAGCGACGUGGUUCGCGGCGCGGUUGAAUCUGGCGUAAACAAAAAGUUACAGCAAAGAUCAUCUUGUGAGACGUAAAUUUGAGUUAAUACUUUAGUCUUUAAUGACGUUACAAAUCAUAUAAAAUUACUUAAAGUGGAACAUUUCAAGCAUUUUCAGUUUCUUCAGAGUGUUACAAUUAAUAAUCUCAUUGGUUUAUCAUCACUUUAUUGGUUAAUAUUCCAAUUUAGGACAUUUUCUUCUUUGCAAAGCUUUGCUUGUUAAAAAAAAAAUCCAGUGCAUACCAGGUUCCUACUGAUGAUUCUCAGUACCUAUUUUUAUGUAGCAUCUUUCAUUCUGCACGCACACCUUGGGACUUGCAAAACAGCCUGUAUAACUAAAUCCUCCAAGUGCUUGGUAAGGGAGUCAGCAAUAACAUUUCUCUUUUCUGAGAGUAGUCAAAUGGCCCAGCUAAAUGUCAGAGGGAGUAAAGUGUGACUUGGGAGAGGAUUUAACAGUCGUCUCUUGUUCCUGCUUUGUUGGCUUGUUUGUUUUUUUUUUUUUAAGGUAUUAUUAUUGCAUAAGAUUCAACUCAGAAUAAUAAACAUAUCUUACAAGCAAAGCUCAUAGUCAAGAGAGAAGGUGAAGGGAGGCAUCAUAAAAGUCAGGUAUCCUUCAUUCAGAUCUAGUGAAUUCAAACUUGAGCCCUUUGCACUUGGUUAGAUUUGCGGGAUUUACGCUAGCGUGCUUGUCGCAGGUUCCUUUGGUACACUAGCAUUUUCCCAAAGCGGCUUAUGUAUGAUUCUGAGCAAGUGAUGUAGGCAUGUGAUGCAGGUGUUGCAACGAUUCUUGCUGUAGUGGUUGUUUAUCCAUUUGCCUUUUAAAGCCUUUUUGCCAUCAAAUAAUUUCAAAAACAAGUGAAUUAUGUUGAGCUUUUUACAUGUUAAAGUUGGAAGAGUGUGCAGAAAAGAUGAAAAAAAUUCUGAGAAGUUACUCUGUUUACAGUGAAACUAGUCAGAACUAAUGACUGAAAUUUUCCUUAUGUUUCAGCUGUUUGGCAGUGAUAAGGAAGGGAAGACUUCUGUCAAGCCAUUAGUAUUCUAGAAAGUGUCCUUUGGUGAAGUGUUUUAUUUUCUGAGUGUCUGCAGUACUGUGGUGAGUGAAGCAGUUCUUAUGUUAAUAUACGACUGUCAGUAAAAUUAUUUGAUGUCUUUCCAGAGGAAAAAUGAAGAAAGCAAAAUGAGUAUUAGGUCAUUGAAUGCUGUAAAAGUAAAAUAAGGUUUGCAAAAUGAAGGCACACCAUUUGAAGGAAGGCAGAUCUCCAGAGGAAGAUGGAGGGCAAGCAUCGGUUGUGCCAGUGGUGUUCAGCCUGCUGUGUUCAGUCUGGGGCAGGGAAGGCCUUGAGGACCCACGUCUGCAAACCUCAUGAGCGUUCUGAGAUUAUGGAGCCAGGUUCUUCACAGUACUGCCUGGGGGAAGGUAGGAGACAGUGGACAUGAAUCGAACCAAGGAAGAUUGAGACUGGAUAUAAGGAAAAACUUUUUACCCUGGAGGGCAGUCGGGCAGUGGAAGACAUCGUCCAGAGAGACUGUGCUGCCUCCUUCCUUGGAGGUUUUCAAGGCCUGACUGGAUCAAGCUCUGAACAACUCGCUCUGAUGGUGGCUUUGAGCAGGAGGUUGGACAAGAGACCUCCUGACAUCCCUUCCAACCUGAAUUAUUCCGUCGUUCUAUGAUUCUACACUCGCAGUGUGGACGCAAAAGUCUGGGAUGUGGAAAAUAUUGUAUUUCAAACCUCAGAGUUUGUGAGCAUUUUUGCUGUUUGCAACUCUCUCUGUAGCAGGUAGAAAACACGGUGCAGCAUGAUAGCUGGAAUAGCUUUCGUUAGUUUGUGGCUUCCACUGUUCAUAGUUUAAUGGAAACAUUUCUUCUUCCCCUUGCAGCUGCAAAAUAACAGUAAAUUACUUCAGUCAACUGAGACAUGCUGCUUCUGUGUGCUCCUAGGUAAAAUAUUUAUUACCUGUUAAAGCGAUUGAAGGCCACCCAUUCGUUGCCUUUUAGAAACCAGCAUAAAGAGAUAAGAAAAGGCAAAUAAAGUGCUCCCAUUUCACAAGUCUGGAAGUAGAGAUCUGUAAGUAAGAAAAGGUGGAAGAAGCUAGGAAAUGUUCCUGUUGGUGUGUUUCUAUGCUGUGGUACAGUAUACUAAAGGGAGAUGCAUGUAUAAGUGACAGCGAGGGAAAAAUAACCUGGCAGUGGAUUGGAAAGAAGCGGUAAGGUAAUUGGUGGUGUCCCAGGUAGGCUGUGACUUGUCUGCCCUAACAUUAUUA